Molecule: long non-coding RNA, 280 nt
Organism: Triticum aestivum (bread wheat)
Lineage: Eukaryota; Viridiplantae; Streptophyta; Magnoliopsida; Poales; Poaceae
Exons: 3
Source: RefSeq, a predicted model, not a curated record
ACAACUGUCAGGUUUACUCUAUCCAAAUUGCAUGUUUUCCAGUUUACAUUUUAGACUCCACAUUUUCUUGACGUCCUGGAAGUCAGUCAUGUCAUUUCUAAGGCUUACUCCCAGCUUUCUUAUUCACCGAGGAAUUUGGCUCAUGACUAAAGAGGAGAAAGGAUCCCGGUUGUCCUCAGUUUGCAAUUUUACUCGGUCACCAAUAUGCUGGAAUUCAAAUAUUUGAAAGAGAUAGGGAUACAUGAUGUGGUUUAGAACAAUGGUAGGUUGUGAACAUGAG